UGACGGUACCGAAAGAAUAAGCACCGGCUAACUCCGUGCCAGCAGCCGCGGUAAUACGUAGGGUGCAAGCGUUAAUCGGAAUUACUGGGCGUAAAGCGUGCGCAGGUGGUUNUUUAAGUCAGAUGUGAAAUCCCCGGGCUCAACCUGGGAACUGCAUUNGANACUGNNNGGCUAGAGUGNGGUAGAGGGGGGUGGAAUUCCNNGUGUAGCAGUGAAAUGCGUAGAUAUNNGGAGGAACACCGAUGGCGAAGGCAGCCCCCUGGACCGAUACUGACNCUCAGGCACGAAAGCGUGGGGAGCAAA
Molecule: ribosomal RNA, 303 nt
Filed under: beta proteobacterium SCGC AAA487-C09
Lineage: Bacteria; Pseudomonadati; Pseudomonadota; Betaproteobacteria
Description: partial 16S small subunit ribosomal RNA
Rfam family: Bacterial small subunit ribosomal RNA
Source: RNAcentral